Camelina sativa (false flax) is the source of this 267-nucleotide non-coding RNA. The record is from RefSeq and is a predicted model, not a curated record. NCBI's taxonomy places the organism in Eukaryota, Viridiplantae, Streptophyta, Magnoliopsida, Brassicales, Brassicaceae.
GAAGAAUGAAGAAGAAGACUCGAAACUGCUUAAGCUUUGUUUGAUGAUGUUCCGAACAACAACAGCAACAACAACAUCAAUGGAUCGUUGAUGAAUUAGCAAGAUAUGGUGCCAAGUGAUGAUCGGAGGACGAGCAAGUUGUUUCUUUCCAUGGUGGUUCAUCUGAUUUCAUGGAUCAUAUGCGGGGAUAGCUGGUGAUGUGUGAUUGCUGAGGUCACUCGAGACAGUGGUGCGUCUUCUUCCUUGUCCACUUUAAAUUCUCCCCUU